Long non-coding RNA from Aplysia californica (California sea hare), 446 nucleotides. RefSeq lists it as uncharacterized. Lineage: Eukaryota; Metazoa; Mollusca; Gastropoda; Aplysiida; Aplysiidae. The record is from RefSeq and is a predicted model, not a curated record. The transcript has 2 exons.
ACGUGGUAGAGAAAAGGGAAGCACGGGAGGCGACUGGGGACGACCGUGCGGAGAAAGGCCCCAAGCGCCCAUCGCCUGUCUCGACCACGCCGUGACGCGACUAUCUCCGGCGUGCAGAGAAAUCCGACGCGACUCUCUGCCCAGGAGCGCUCUCUGUCGCUUCUUCCUCGGGGAUCGUGCAUUCAUUGCGCUCAACAGGUGGUGGUGCUGCUGCUACGUAGUUUUUGUGUGGCCGUGGUCUGAUGGUUUUGACCACUGGACACGACUGACCACUACGAGGAACGAGAAGGUGCCUUUUCUGGUAUUUUUCUGAGGAUUUCAGCCACACACAACUUUUGACUAUCUCAUUCGUGUGCUUUCGCGAGAUUUGUGUUGGUGUGUGUGUGUUGGAGACUUUUUUUUUCGAAAGCGUUGGGGCACCACCCACGAGUUUCGAACCGUCGACU